GAUGAAGAACGCAGCAAAAUGCGAUAAGUAAUGUGAAUUGCAGAAUUCAGUGAAUCAUCGAAUCUUUGAACGCACAUUGCGCCUGCCAGCACUCUGGCAGGCAUGCCUGUUCGAGCGUCAUUUCAACCAUCAAGCCCUAGGCUUGCGUUGGAGCCCUGCGGCUGCCGCAGGCCCCUAAAAGCAGUGGCGGGCUCGCUAUCACACCGAGUGCAGUAGAUUACUCUUCGCUCAGGGCGUGUGGCGAGUUCCAGCCGUGAAACCCCCUACUUCUCAAGGUUGACCUCGGAUCAGGUAGGAAUACCCGCUGAACUUAAGCAUAUCAAUAAGCGGAGGA
Molecule: unclassified non-coding RNA, 334 nt
Filed under: soil metagenome
Description: partial contains 5.8S ribosomal RNA, internal transcribed spacer 2, and large subunit ribosomal RNA
Rfam family: 5.8S ribosomal RNA (bases 1-120)
Source: RNAcentral